Molecule: unclassified non-coding RNA, 65 nt
Filed under: Murine hepatitis virus
Lineage: Riboviria; Orthornavirae; Pisuviricota; Pisoniviricetes; Nidovirales; Coronaviridae
Source: RNAcentral
GUAUAAGAGUGAUUGGCGUCCGUACGUACCCUCUCAACUCUAAAACUCUUGUAGUUUAAAUCUAA